UUGGAGGGCAAGUCUGGUGCCAGCAGCCGCGGUAAUUCCAGCUCCAAUAGCGUAUAUUGAAGUUGUUGCAGUUAAAAAGCUCGUAGUUGAAUUUCGGGAUCAAAUAAUCGGUCGUGCCUCCGGUACGUACUGGUUUUAUUGGUUCCUCCCUUCUGACGAACCAUGAUGUCAUUAAUUUGAUGUGGUGGAGAAUCAGGACUGUUACCUUGAAAAAAUUAGAGUGUUUAAAGCAGGCUAACGCUUGAAUACAUUAGCAUGGAAUAAUGAAAUAGGACGUUCGACCCUAUUUUGUUGGUUUCUAGGAUCGACGUAAUGAUUAAUAGGGAUAGUUGGGGGCAUUAGUAUUCAAUUGUCAGAGGCGAAAUUCUUGGAUUUAUUGAAGACUAACUACUGCGAAAGCAUUUGCCAAGGAUGUUUUCAUUAAUCAAGAACGAAAGUUAGGGGAUCGAAGACGAUCAGAUACCGUCGUAGUCUUAACCAUAAACUAUGCCGACUAGGGAUCGGAUGAUGUUAAUUUUUUAAUGACUCAUUCGGCGCCUUACGGGAAAC
This 549-nucleotide ribosomal RNA is filed under the name uncultured Glomeraceae. Its description in RNAcentral is "SSU rRNA". It matches the Rfam family "Eukaryotic small subunit ribosomal RNA", at positions 548 to 1098 of the family's 1831-position model. The record is from RNAcentral. Lineage: Eukaryota; Fungi; Glomeromycota; Glomeromycetes; Glomerales; Glomeraceae.